RNAcentral lists this long non-coding RNA (291 nucleotides) under Brassica rapa (field mustard). RNAcentral describes it as "long non-coding RNA (BRAP_LNC002344)". The record is from RNAcentral. Lineage: Eukaryota; Viridiplantae; Streptophyta; Magnoliopsida; Brassicales; Brassicaceae.
GACGAUUCUGUCCUACGUGGAAUAAACGACGAUUACGUCGUACAUUCGACGUCAAGUUACGAGGAAUUAACGAGCAGUACGUUUAAAUCCCUAAAAUCCGAAACCCCAAACCCCAAAACCCCAUAUUCCUUAUCUUCUACUUCAUAUAUUCCAAACCCCAUGUUUAUUUCCAUUCCAAACCACAAUUCCCACAUUUACUUAUUUAUAAAACAAACUCCCACAAUUUCUUAUUCAUAAAACAAACUCCCACAUUACCUUAUUCAUAAAACAAACUCUCACAAUACCUUAUUC